AUGGCAUCAUCUUCAUCAACUUCAUGGCAUCUGAUUAAAUUAUUCCCACAUCCCUCUAUACAAAACUGGCUGCAACACCCUCACAGAGAGCUGGAUCUCCCCAGUGAUCUAAUGCUGGUGCUUAACUCUGAAUGAGCCACUAGCAAAAAACAAAAGGCAAAAAACAAGACAGGAAAUGCAGAAUCUGCUGCCGUGGGGGGUGACUUUACAAAUUCUAUUAUUUUAUUUCCCCACAGAACACAGAAUCAGGCCAUAAGCCUGAUUUUGUUUUGCUUUGUGAUUUUGAUUUUGUUUUUGGUUUUCAUCAGUCAAGCAAUUCGAAGGAAUCACUUGCAAUUCCCAACACAGCCUUGGCUAUGAGCGCUCCUUAAAGAAAUGGACAGGAAUUCCUCCCAGAGGCUGAGUUUCACAUAUUGCUCGAGCCAAAGAGAAGCUCCAGCCUCCUUGGAAAGGGCCUUUUGGAACCAUCAUUUCUGCUGGAGAGCACUUAAAUCCAGGGAGCAGAGGACUGUGCUAGCAAAGCAGGAAUCGAUGCCACGUGCCAUGAAAUACACUGGAAUUCCAGCACACAUCCCAUGCUCCUGCAAAGCCCACUCCAAACUAUGCCACAGGAGCCAUGCUGGAUAUCAGGGAGAAUUCCUUCCCCAAAAGGGCUGCCCAGGCCUGGCACAGAUCUGCUUUCAGCUACACCACAGUCACAUUAAGAUGACCUGCAUGGUGGGAAAAAAAGGGAAUAAAAAGAAAGUGCCCAACACACCAGUCAGAGGAUUUAGCCACGGAAAACUCAAGUUGCUGGCAUUCUUGGAUAUUAAGGUUAAACCCAUUUUCUAAAAAGCCUGGCUUGCAAUUCAAGAAAUUGAAAGCACAGAAAUAAAUCACAUUUAUAAAUGUGAGAUGCUUAAUGCAGCAAAUAAAUAUUUUCCUAAGUUUAGUUAUUUCUGUUCCCUGUGGAAGUUUGAAUUUUGAAGGACUAUUUCAGUGCAGCCCUGUACACCUGCCAGCACUGCAAAUCACACUGUUUUCCCUGUACAGCUAAUCCCAGGAUCUUUUGGUGGAAUUCUCCUCAGGGGGAAUCUUGCACUUGUUUGAACAGAACUGCACUUUGGUAAGGAUAAGCUCAGCCUAAGCUAAACUUUCUAUCCCACUUCCUCUUGUCUCCUUCUGCCAGAAGCCCCGAGCCCCUCCGGACGAGGCCAUUCCAUGCUGGAUGUGCAGCGCCUCCCACAACAGGAAC
This is a long non-coding RNA of Pyrgilauda ruficollis (rufous-necked snowfinch), 1234 nucleotides long. RefSeq lists it as uncharacterized. The record is from RefSeq and is a predicted model, not a curated record. Lineage: Eukaryota; Metazoa; Chordata; Aves; Passeriformes; Passeridae. The transcript is spliced from 3 exons.